UUUCAGUUUCUCUUUUGGGCUUGCGUUCAGACUGCUGCCAUGCUGGCUGGCUAGGUCGCUCUGGAUAAAUACUGAUCUACUACCAGAGGACCCAUAGAGUGCCAAGGCCUCUUCACUGACAUCCAUGUUCAGAAGUCUGGAUCAGUCCCAUAAUAGCCUCCCAGACAUCAGUUUGUUCAGCUUAUGAGAAGAUAUGCUACUUACAGCUGAAAUCCACUGGAAGGAGACCCAAAAUAUAGCUCUGUUGUGGUGAAGUUAAAGAAAUGAAAUUAAAAAAAUGAUCUUUCUCUAUUCUGCCACCAAUGAUUCACCUUCAAAAUGAUGCUCCAUUUGUCUUCAUAAACACAGAGCCCUCAUCCAGUGGCUGAUGGAAGCAGAGG
Molecule: long non-coding RNA, 380 nt
Filed under: Cricetulus griseus (Chinese hamster)
Lineage: Eukaryota; Metazoa; Chordata; Mammalia; Rodentia; Cricetidae
Description: lncRNA (ENSCGRG00015038245.1)
Source: RNAcentral